AUUGAACGCUGGCGGCAGGCCUAACACAUGCAAGUCGAACGAUCACAGGAAGAAGCUUGCCUCUUUGCUGACGAGUGGCGGAGGGGUGUGUCAUGUGUGUGACAUUGCUUGAUGAAGGGGGUUAACUACUGGAAACGGUACUUAUUACCGCAUAUCGUUGCAAGAUCAAGGAGCAGGACUUUCGGGCGUUUUUUCAUUGAAUUUGCGCAGAUGGCAUUAGCUAGUAGGUAGGGUAUCGGCUCACCUAGGCGACGAUCCUUAGCUGGUCUGAGAGGUUGAACAGCCACACUGGAACUGAGACACGGUCCAGACUCCUACGGGAGGCAGCAGUAGGGAAUAUUGCGCAAUGGGCGAAAGCCUGAUGGAGCAAUGCCGCGUGAAUGAAGAAGGUCUUCGGAUUGUAAAAUACUGUCAGUGGGGAGGAAGGAAGGAGAGUUAAUCCCUGUACGUAUUGACGGUACCCGAAGAAGAAGCAACGGCUAACUACGUG
This 490-nucleotide ribosomal RNA is filed under the name uncultured bacterium. RNAcentral describes it as "partial 16S ribosomal RNA". It matches the Rfam family "Bacterial small subunit ribosomal RNA", at positions 30 to 507 of the family's 1533-position model. The record is from RNAcentral.